UCAAUAAUUAGUGGACCCAUAUGAGGUAAACGUGCUGCAUAGGACGUAAAUGGAAGAAAUUUGUUUUUUUCUACAUUUAAGGUCUGACCAAGAUUCUGAUUCAUACCACACAGCAGUAUCAUCAGCAAAACUUAGAAUGGAACCAUUUACGUUAAGGCACAAAUUUCAUCAUGGCCUGGAGAUUUCUUCGAUUUUAACUGAUUAAUAAUUGAAUUCACUUCAUCACAAUCCGUAUAAUGUAAAUACAUAGUAUUUUCUAACAUAUCAUUUAUCUUAUGUGUACUUACAUUUUUAAUUUUAUUUGCAUAAU
This is a long non-coding RNA of Anoplophora glabripennis (Asian longhorned beetle), 310 nucleotides long. RefSeq lists it as uncharacterized. NCBI's taxonomy places the organism in Eukaryota, Metazoa, Arthropoda, Insecta, Coleoptera, Cerambycidae. The record is from RefSeq and is a predicted model, not a curated record. The transcript is spliced from 3 exons.